UACGUAGGAGGCGAGCGUUGUCCGGAAUUACUGGGCGUAAAGAGCGCGUAGGCGGCACGGUACGACCUGUGUGAAAGCCCCCCGGCUCAACUGGGGAGGGUCACAGGUAACGCCGAGCUAUGAGUGCAGGAGAGGGAAGUGGAACUCCGGGAGUAGCGGUGAAAUGCGUAGAGACCCGGAGGAACACCAGUGGCGAAGGCGGCUUCCUGGUCUGCGACUGACGCUGUGGCGCGAAAGCUAGGGGAGCGAACGGG
This 254-nucleotide ribosomal RNA is filed under the name uncultured bacterium. Its description in RNAcentral is "partial 16S ribosomal RNA". It matches the Rfam family "Bacterial small subunit ribosomal RNA", at positions 524 to 776 of the family's 1533-position model. The record is from RNAcentral.